Molecule: ribosomal RNA, 253 nt
Filed under: uncultured bacterium
Lineage: Bacteria
Description: partial 16S ribosomal RNA
Rfam family: Bacterial small subunit ribosomal RNA
Source: RNAcentral
UACGAAGGGGGCUAGCGUUGUUCGGAAUCACUGGGCGUAAAGCGCACGUAGGCGGACGUGUCAGUCAGGGGUGAAAUCCCGGAGCUCAACUUCGGAACUGCCUUUGAUACAGCACGUCUUGAGUCCGGAAGAGGUGGGUGGAAUUCCUAGUGUAGAGGUGAAAUUCGUAGAUAUUAGGAAGAACACCGGUGGCGAAGGCGGCCCGCUGGUCCGGUACUGACGCUGAGGUGCGAAAGCGUGGGGAGCAAACAGG